Molecule: non-coding RNA, 868 nt
Organism: Meleagris gallopavo (turkey)
Lineage: Eukaryota; Metazoa; Chordata; Aves; Galliformes; Phasianidae
Source: RefSeq, a predicted model, not a curated record
GGUGAGAAAUGCAAUCUAUAAUUGUCAGUAGAUAGACAUUUCUAAACUGCAAGUAGCUUGGGGUAAUGAUGUGCCUUCCUCUAGGGAAAGCCUGCUGUAGCUGCUGUAUGAAUGACUGGUAUGAGGUGAGCAGAAGUAGAUCCCUGGCUGUGUCCACCAGUUUCUUUUGGGACUUCAUGGAGACAACAGAUUCAGAAAAAGAGGGUUGCAAACAAGUGGUAGAAGUAGAAAGCUUAGUAAUUUACGUUCUUCAUCUUUAAGGCUGCAGGUGCUAUUCCUCAUAUGUUUUACUUUUGUGCAAAUGGCUCAGUGAAGAUCUGUAUCUAAGUGCUAUAUCAGUUUAUCUAAAGAGUCAUCUGAGCAUCUUUUAUGUCAAUUGUGACGAUAUCAGGAUUUAAAACUUGAGAGUAGUCUCUCUGAAAGGUGGAUCUAAGCUCCCUGUCAUAAAAUUUAAAAGGACUGUGCUUAGUGUACAAGUCUCCAUCUGCAUUAAUUCCUUGGGUUAUGUAUUUAAAUUAGAUUUAGCUAAAUACAACUUCAUGUAAAGUUCUAUCUGCUUUAGAUAGUGUCUGUCAGUUCCGCUGGUUUUAACUGAUACGAGUAGGGCUUAUCUGUGAUGUUAAGGAUACAGUUCUCUAAGCUUUUUAGUCUAGGACCUUGGGCAUUUGAAGAUGCAGAGGAUUCUGUACUGCUUUGCAAGGAAUUAAGACCUCCCAUAAACGCAGUAGAAAACUGGGACACUACAAUAGACAGCCAAGUUUGUGAUUCAGUGAGCGUCAACAGCUUUAACUGUUCUUUUGGUACAAUGAGAAGGGAGUGUACAAAGAUGUGUGUUUUGCUACCAACGUGAUACUGGGAGUGUAUAAAC